RNAcentral lists this unclassified non-coding RNA (348 nucleotides) under soil metagenome. RNAcentral describes it as "partial contains 5.8S ribosomal RNA, internal transcribed spacer 2, and large subunit ribosomal RNA". The stretch from base 1 to 120 matches the Rfam family "5.8S ribosomal RNA", at positions 35 to 154 of the family's 154-position model. The record is from RNAcentral.
GAUGAAGAACGCAGCGAAAUGCGAUAAGUAAUGUGAAUUGCAGAAUUCAGUAAAUCAUCGAAUCUUUGAACGCACAUUGCGCCCGCCAGUAUUCUGGCGGGCAUGCCUGUCUGAGCGUCAUUUCAACCCUCAUGCCCCUAGGGCGUGGUGUUGGGGAUCGGCCAAAGCCCGCGAGGGACGGCCGGCCCCUAAAUCUAGUGGCGGACCCGUCGUGGCCUCCUCUGCGAAGUAGUGAUAUUCCGCAUCGGAGAGCGAUGAGCCCCUGCCGUUAAACCCCCAACUUUCCAAGGUUGACCUCAGAUCAGGUAGGAAUACCCGCUGAACUUAAGCAUAUCAAUAAGCGGAGGA